Molecule: ribosomal RNA, 139 nt
Filed under: uncultured eukaryote
Lineage: Eukaryota
Description: partial 18S ribosomal RNA
Source: RNAcentral
UCGUGGAGCGAUUUGUCUGGUUGAUUCCGGUAACGAACGAGACUCUGGGCGAGUGCGGGCCUCUCACGCUUAGGCGAGAGGAGUCCGUCACAACGCCGGCUGCUAGUGGAAGCUAGAGUUACAGGCCAGAGCAAUAACA